GAUGAACGCUGGCGGCGUGCCUAAUACAUGCAAGUCGAGCGAACGGACGAGAAGCUUGCUUCUCUGAUGUUAGCGGCGGACGGGUGAGUAACACGUGGAUAACCUACCUAUAAGACUGGGAUAACUUCGGGAAACCGGAGCUAAUACCGGAUAAUAUUUUGAACCGCAUGGUUCAAAAGUGAAAGACGGUCUUGCUGUCCCUUAUAGAUGGAUCCGCGCUGCAUUAGCUAGUUUGUAAGGUAACGGCUUAACAAGGCAACGAUGCAUAGCCGACCUGAGAGGGGGAUCGGCCACACUGGAACUGAGACACGGUCCAGACUCCUACGGGAGGCAGCAGUAGGGAAUCUUCCGCAAUGGGCGAAAGCCUGACGGAGCAACGCCGCGUGAGUGAUGAAGGUCUUCGGAUCGUAAAACUCUGUUAUUAGGGAAGAACAUAUGUGUAAGUAACUGUGCACAUCUUGACGGUACCUAAUCAGAAAGCCACGGCUAACUACGUG
RNAcentral lists this ribosomal RNA (497 nucleotides) under uncultured bacterium. Its description in RNAcentral is "partial 16S ribosomal RNA". It matches the Rfam family "Bacterial small subunit ribosomal RNA", at positions 28 to 507 of the family's 1533-position model. The record is from RNAcentral.